UGUGUGUGUGUGUGUGUGUGUGUGUGUGUGUGUGUGUGUGUGUGUGUGUGUGUGUGUGUGUGUGUGUGUGUGUGUGUGUGUGUGUGUGUGUGUGUGUGUGCGUGUGUGUGUGUGUUUGGUUUAUGAGAGGGAGCACUUUGUCUGUUCUGUGUCAGGCUGACUUUACCAGUCAUCUGCCUCCUUUCUCCAUCUACACAUCUCUGAAAUGUUUCUUUCUAGCCUCUGAUUCCUCCACCACUGCAGGCAGGAAGAAUCAGUAGCAUGUUGAUGGCACACAACAAAUGGAGCACACCACGGGCCACUCCCACAUGUGCUCUCUCUCCGCUGCGGGUGUGCCUCCUCGCACCUGCAAACACUCACCAAGCUACACACCUGCCUGUGAUGAGCGAGCUGCCUUCAAGAGCAGACGCAGCCUGAGAUCCGACGCGAGAACGUAGCUUCACUUACCCAGUACACCUCCCGCCAUCCUUCCUUGUCGUCGAGUUGUGUGUCUCGUCACCUUGGACCUCCCGUGGAUUUUCCCUUGCCUUCCUGGACAUCGACCUCACGCCUGCCUAACGACCACGAAACCAAGCUCCUGCCCUUGACCAUCUGCCUGCUCGCCGACGUUCGAUUCCGCCUUGCUCCUUACUGGACUUCCGCCUGGAUCCCAACACGCAUCCUCAACACCCUCUGGCAACCAUACUCAGAUACGUUUCACACUUCGUCACAUUACAUCUCUUUGGUUAAAUACACAUCUCACUCACACACUAAACUGUCAUUAAAUACGCUGACAGCUAACGACGUCAUCGCCCCUCUGCCGUCUUCUUCUCCCGUUGUACCGUCAUAGUCUUCCUUUUUUUCCCUCUUUCCAUCCCCUCCUUCUCCGGCCUGGCUGCACAAAAUAAUAUACAUUUAAUAAA
Molecule: long non-coding RNA, 902 nt
Organism: Nerophis ophidion (straightnose pipefish)
Lineage: Eukaryota; Metazoa; Chordata; Actinopteri; Syngnathiformes; Syngnathidae
Exons: 3
Source: RefSeq, a predicted model, not a curated record